This 71-nucleotide transfer RNA is filed under the name Ictidomys tridecemlineatus (thirteen-lined ground squirrel). Its description in RNAcentral is "Spermophilus tridecemlineatus (thirteen-lined ground squirrel) tRNA". It matches the Rfam family "tRNA". From Rfam's summary of the family: Transfer RNA (tRNA) molecules are approximately 80 nucleotides in length. Their secondary structure includes four short double-helical elements and three loops (D, anti-codon, and T loops). The record is from Rfam by way of RNAcentral. Lineage: Eukaryota; Metazoa; Chordata; Mammalia; Rodentia; Sciuridae.
GUGGUUGUGGCUCAGUGGUAGAGUGCUUGCCUAGCACGUGCAAGGUCCUGGGUUCAAUCCUCAGCACCAUA